AGAGUUUGAUCCUGGCUCAGGACGAACGCUGGCGGCGUGCUUAACACAUGCAAGUCGAGCGGAAAGGCCCUUCGGGGUACUCGAGCGGCGAACGGGUGAGUAACACGUGAGUAAUCUGCCCUUGACUCUGGGAUAGCUCCGGGAAACCGGGAUUAAUACCGGAUAUGACUGCCUUAGGCAUCUUUGGUGGUGGAAAGUUUUUCGGUCAGGGAUGUGCUCGCGGCCUAUCAGCUUGUUGGUGGGGUAAUGGCCUACCAAGGCGACGACGGGUAGCCGGCCUGAGAGGGCGACCGGCCACACUGGGACUGAGACACGGCCCAGACUCCUACGGGAGGCAGCAGUGGGGAAUAUUGCGCAAUGGGGGAAACCCUGACGCAGCGACGCCGCGUGCGGGAUGAAGGCCUUCGGGUUGUAAACCGCUUUCAGCAGGGACGAAGCGGAAGUGACGGUACCUGCAGAAGAAGCGCCGGCUAACUACGUGCCAGCAGCCGCGGUAACACGUAGGGCGCGAGCGUUGUCCGGAAUUAUUGGGCGUAAAGAGCUCGUAGGCGGCCUGUUGCGUCCGCUGUGAAAGCCCGGGGCUUAACCCCGGGUCGGCAGUGGAUACGGGCAGGCUAGAGGUAGGUAGGGGAGAAUGGAAUUCCCGGUGUAGCGGUGAAAUGCGCAGAUAUCGGGAGGAACACCGGUGGCGAAGGCGGUUCUCUGGGCCUUACCUGACGCUGAGGAGCGAAAGCGUGGGGAGCGAACAGGAUUAGAUACCCUCGUAGUCC
This 770-nucleotide ribosomal RNA is filed under the name uncultured bacterium. Its description in RNAcentral is "bacterial SSU rRNA". It matches the Rfam family "Bacterial small subunit ribosomal RNA", at positions 8 to 796 of the family's 1533-position model. The record is from RNAcentral.